GGAAGUAAAAGUCGUAACAAGGUUUCCGUAGGUGAACCUGCGGAGGGAUCAUUACUGAUUUAGCGAACCGAGCGUUAGCGAGGUUUUGCGAUCAACUUGUAUUUAAAACCCACUCUUCAAUGUAUAAAAUUUGUAUUAAUGAUAAAUUAAAAGAUCACUUUCAACAACGGAUCUCUUGGCUCUCGCAUCGAUGAAGAACGUAGCGAAGUGCGAUAAGUAAUGUGAAUUGCAGUACUCCGUGAAUCAUCGAACCUUUGAACGCAUAUUGCACUUUCUGGUAUUCCGGAAAGUAUGCCUGUUUGAGGGUCAGUUAAAUAAAAAUCGGUGUUGUUGCCGCUUUCCGUGGUGACGCGUCGGAAUUGAGUCGUCUUCGGUUAAGUGACUUAAAAUUUUAUAUGAUUUUCGAACGUAUUUAAAUUUGUUUGAACGUUUGAUAUCGAAUGCUUAUUAGGUUCGGUCAUCAUCAUGACUCGCGCCUAUAAUUUUUCAUUAAAUGACCUCAAAUCAGGUAAGAAUACCCGCUGAACUUAAGCAUAUCAAUAAGCGGAGGA
Molecule: ribosomal RNA, 551 nt
Filed under: uncultured Glomus
Lineage: Eukaryota; Fungi; Glomeromycota; Glomeromycetes; Glomerales; Glomeraceae
Description: eukaryotic LSU rRNA
Rfam family: 5.8S ribosomal RNA (bases 156-309)
Source: RNAcentral